Molecule: ribosomal RNA, 497 nt
Filed under: uncultured bacterium
Lineage: Bacteria
Description: partial 16S ribosomal RNA
Rfam family: Bacterial small subunit ribosomal RNA
Source: RNAcentral
GAUGAACGCUGGCGGCGUGCCUAAUACAUGCAAGUCGAGCGAACGGACGAGAAGCUUGCUUCUCUGAUGUUAGCGGCGGACGGGUGAGUAACACGUGGAUAACCUACCUAUAAGACUGGGAUAACUUCGGGAAACCGGAGCUAAUACCGGAUGAUAUUUUGAACCGCAUGGUUCAAAAGUGAAAGACGGUCUUGCUGUCACUUAUAGAUGGAUCCGCGCUGCAUUAGCUAGUUGGUAAGGUAACGGCUUACCAAGGCAACGAUGCAUAGCCGACCUGAGAGGGGGAUCGGCCACACUGGAACUGAGACACGGUCCAGACUCCUACGGGAGGCAGCAGUAGGGAAUCUGCCGCAAUGGGCGAAAGCCUGACGGAGCAACGCCGCGUGAGUGAUGAAGGUCUUCGGAUCGUAAAACUCUGUUAUUAGGGAAGAACAUAUGUGUAAGUAACUGUGCACAUCUUGACGGUACCUAAUCAGAAAGCCACGGCUAACUACGUG